Molecule: ribosomal RNA, 241 nt
Filed under: uncultured bacterium
Lineage: Bacteria
Description: partial 16S ribosomal RNA
Rfam family: Bacterial small subunit ribosomal RNA
Source: RNAcentral
UACGUAGGGUGCGAGCGUUAAUCGGAAUUACUGGGCGUAAAGCGUGCGCAGGCGGUUUUGUAAGCCAGAUGUGAAAUCCCCGGGCUUAACCUGGGAAUGGCAUUUGGGACUGCAAGGCUGGAGUACGGCAGAGGAGACUGGAAUUCCUGGUGUAGCAGUGAAAUGCGUAGAGAUCAGGAGGAAUACCGAUGGCGAAGGCAGGUCUCUGGGCUGAUACUGACGCUCAUGCACGAAAAGCGUG